GGGACCGUGGUGUAGGGGUAAGCGUGGUUGCCUAUCAUCCAGUCGGCAUGGGUUCGAUUCCAGACGGUCCCG
Molecule: transfer RNA, 72 nt
Organism: Culex pipiens (northern house mosquito)
Lineage: Eukaryota; Metazoa; Arthropoda; Insecta; Diptera; Culicidae
Rfam family: tRNA
About the family: Transfer RNA (tRNA) molecules are approximately 80 nucleotides in length. Their secondary structure includes four short double-helical elements and three loops (D, anti-codon, and T loops).
Source: Rfam